GACGAGCGCUGGCGGCGUGCUUAACACAUGCAAGUCGAACGGAAAGGCCUGCUUUCCCUUGUGGAUUGCGGGUACUCGAGUGGCGAACGGGUGAGUAACACGUGAGUGAUCUGCCCCCAACUUGGGUAUAAGCCUGGGAAACUGGGUCUAAUUCCCGAUAGGACUGCAGGGUGGUGCCUGUGGUGGAAAACGAUUUUCUAGUGGUUGGGGAUGAGCUCGCGGCCUAUCAGCUUGUUGGUGGGGUAAUGGCCUACCAAGGCGGCGACGGGUAGCCGGCCUGAGAGGGUGGACGGCCACAUUGGGACUGAGAUACGGCCCAGACUCCUACGGGAGGCAGCAGUGGGGAAUAGUGCACAAUGGGCGGAAGCCUGAUGCAGCGACGCCGCGUGGGGGAUGACGGCCUUCGGGUUGUAAACUCCUUUCGACCGCGAGGAAGCCACCUGGUUGGAAGGGUGGUGACGGUAGUGGUAGAAGAAGCACCGGCUAACUACGUG
This 494-nucleotide ribosomal RNA is filed under the name uncultured bacterium. RNAcentral describes it as "partial 16S ribosomal RNA". It matches the Rfam family "Bacterial small subunit ribosomal RNA", at positions 28 to 507 of the family's 1533-position model. The record is from RNAcentral.